CCAGCACGGUAUGCAUUANUGCGGCGAGUGAAGCGGCAAAAGCUCAAAUUUGAAAUCUGGCACCUUCGGUGUCCGAGUUGUAAUUUGAAGAUUGUAACCUUGGGGUUGGCUCUUGUCUAUGUUUCUUGGAACAGGACGUCACAGAGGGUGAGAAUCCCGUGCGAUGAGAUGCCCAAUCCUAUGUAAGGUGCUUUCGAAGAGUCGAGUUGUUUGGGAAUGCAGCUCUAAGUGGGUGGUAAAUUCCAUCUAAAGCUAAAUAUUGGCGAGAGACCGAUAGCGAACAAGUACAGUGAUGGAAAGAUGAAAAGAACUUUGAAAAGAGAGUGAAAAAGUACGUGAAAUUGUUGAAAGGGAAGGGUUUGAGAUCAGACUCGAUAUUUUGUGAGCCUUGCCUUCGUGGCGGGGUGACCCGCAGCUUAUCGGGCCAGCAUCGGUUUGGGCGGUAGGAUAAUGGCGUAGGAAUGUGACUUUGCUUCGGUGAAGUGUUAUAGCCUGCGUUGAUGCUGCCUGCCUAGACCGAGGACUGCGAUUUUAUCAAGGAUGCUGGCAUAAUGAUCCCAAACCGCCCGUCUUGAAACACGGACCAAGGAGUCUAAC
This 597-nucleotide ribosomal RNA is filed under the name Meyerozyma caribbica. Its description in RNAcentral is "eukaryotic LSU rRNA". It matches the Rfam family "Eukaryotic large subunit ribosomal RNA", at positions 65 to 679 of the family's 3401-position model. The record is from RNAcentral. Lineage: Eukaryota; Fungi; Ascomycota; Pichiomycetes; Serinales; Debaryomycetaceae.